RNAcentral lists this ribosomal RNA (614 nucleotides) under uncultured archaeon. RNAcentral describes it as "bacterial SSU rRNA". It matches the Rfam family "Archaeal small subunit ribosomal RNA", at positions 553 to 1166 of the family's 1478-position model. The record is from RNAcentral.
AUGUGCUCACACAUGGGCUGUCGAGAAUACUGCAUAGCUAGGGAGUGGGAGAGGUAGACGGUACUCUAUAGGAAGGGGUAAAAUCCUUUGAUCUAUAGAUGACCACCAGUGGCGAAGGCGGUCUACCAGAACACGUCCGACGGUGAGGGAUGAAAGCUGGGGGAGCAAACCGGAUUAGAUACCCGGGUAGUCCCAGCUGUAAACUAUGCAAACUCAGUGAUGCAUUGGCUUGUGGCCAGUGCAGUGCCGCAGAGAAGUCGUUAAGUUUGCCGCCUGGGAAGUACGUACGCAAGUAUGAAACUUAAAGGAAUUGGCGGGGGAGCACCACAAGGGGUGAAGCCUGCGGUUCAAUUGGAGUCAACGCCAGAAAUCUUACCCGGAGAGACAGCAGAAUGAAGGUCAAGCUGAAGACUUUACCAGACAAGCUGAGAAGUGGUGCAUGGCCGUCGCCAGCUCGUGCCGUGAGGUGUCCUGUUAAGUCAGGUAACGAGCGAGAUCCCUGCCUCUAGUUGCCACCAUUACUCUCAGGAGUAGUGGGGCGAAUUAGCGGGACUGCCGCAGUUAAUGCGGAGGAAGGAGGGGGCCACGGCAGGUCAGUAUGCCCCGAAAAUCGU